UGACAUUGAAAUAGAAUGUUUGUGGAUGCA
RNAcentral lists this non-coding RNA (30 nucleotides) under Rattus norvegicus (Norway rat). Lineage: Eukaryota; Metazoa; Chordata; Mammalia; Rodentia; Muridae. The record is from RNAcentral.